This is a non-coding RNA of Arachis ipaensis, 435 nucleotides long. NCBI's taxonomy places the organism in Eukaryota, Viridiplantae, Streptophyta, Magnoliopsida, Fabales, Fabaceae. The record is from RefSeq and is a predicted model, not a curated record.
UCGUCGCCAGAAAAGUUGUCGGUAAGGGUUUUAUUUGAGGUUUCUGCCUUUUUGGACUUUGAGAAGGUUUUGAUGCUGCGCAAUUUUUAUAGUUGAUCCACCGGAGCAUCUGGCCACCACUGGAGCUGCUGCCGGGCCGAUUCGAAAUGGCAGCUGCUUUGUGUUGAAAUUCCGAGCUGAUUAUGCUGCUGCAAAAAUGUGUGGGGCUGUGCUUUGAAGCUGCCUUUGAUUUCGAGUUGAGGCGAAAAGAACUUAUGAGGCAUUUGGGUUAUGGGAUUUGCGUUUUGAGGUAGGGGGCGCUUUCUGAAAACUAUAGUUUAUUAUUGGAAUUAUUACAUAUGGAUACUGAUGUGAGGCAAUGUGUAUUGGGUGAUUGUAUCUGCUUUAUGUGUUAUUUGAUUGACUCGAGUGAUUAUGGAUGUUGGUUUGGUUGAA